Gorilla gorilla gorilla (western lowland gorilla) is the source of this 327-nucleotide long non-coding RNA. RefSeq lists it as uncharacterized. The transcript has 3 exons. The record is from RefSeq and is a predicted model, not a curated record. NCBI's taxonomy places the organism in Eukaryota, Metazoa, Chordata, Mammalia, Primates, Hominidae.
ACUUUUGUGACAUCAUGAUCCAUCUCCAUGGAAACCAUUGUGAUAUUAUAAAGAUUAUCUAAAAUCCAGCUGAGUCUGCAAAGCAGUCAAUAGCAGGAAGGAAGAGAGAAGGAAUCACGGGACUAAGAGAUGACUCUUGCUGCUAUGUGAAGAAGGGGUUCUGGGAGCAAGAGUGGAAGCCAGUGACAAGAUGUGUCAGGCGGCCAGUGGAAGCGCCCAGAUCACUCUCGCUGCUCUGUAAAGAGGGGGUUAUGGCAGCAAGAGCAGAUGUGAGAAGAUGUGUCAGGCGGCCAGUGGAAGUGCCCAGGUGAGAGGUGGAGGUGCCCG